Populus euphratica (Euphrates poplar) is the source of this 596-nucleotide long non-coding RNA. RefSeq lists it as uncharacterized. The transcript has 2 exons. NCBI's taxonomy places the organism in Eukaryota, Viridiplantae, Streptophyta, Magnoliopsida, Malpighiales, Salicaceae. The record is from RefSeq and is a predicted model, not a curated record.
CCAGGUCACGCGAUUCGUAUAUUAGUCUAUUCAUUUUUCCACUCCUUGAAAGCAACGGAUACUUUCACAAGAACAGAAACAAGAAAAAAAGGAUACAUACCAUGAGUGGUCUCUUUGCUCAAAUCCAUCAGUCUUGACACCAUGCUUUCUCGAGGAAAGGACUCCAUUUCCAUAAUCUCUACCAGUAACAGAUUCACUCUCAGAGUCCCACAUGAUGUCGAAACAAGAAAAUCCAAGAAAGCCUGAGCAGGGUUUUUCUCAGGACAAGAGCCCUUCUAAAACAGAGUUGAAGCAGAGAAAACAAGCAACAAAAGCAGACAAAACAACAAGUAAAACAACACAGAGGGUUGAUGAGAAAGAAAAGGAGAACCCCACAUGGGGGUGCUUGGAAUUAUCUCUCAACUGUCGGCUUCUUGAGGAUUUUCAAGAGCCUCUUUUACAUUACAGUCUGUGAAGUAAUGGGCAUGGAAUUUCGUACUGGUUUUGGAUCAUUUUGAGCUAGCUUGCAUAAUUCUUAAGACAUUUCUCUGUCUUCAUAGCUCUGCGCACAAGACACUGAAACAUCCAGUUUCCAAUCUUUCGUAUCAUGCUUUUUU